GAAAGCAUUUGCCAAGGACGUUUUCAUUAAUCAAGAACGAAAGUUAGGGGAUCGAAGAUGAUCAGAUACCGUCGUAGUCUUAACCAUAAACUAUGCCGACUAGGGAUCGGGUGUUGUCCUUUUUUUGGCGCACUCGGCACCUUACGAGAAAUCAAAGUUUUUGGGUUCUGGGGGGAGUAUGGUCGCAAGGCUGAAACUUAAAGGAAUUGACGGAAGGGCACCACCAGGAGUGGAGCCUGCGGCUUAAUUUGACUCAACACGGGGAAACUCACCAGGUCCAGACACAAUAAGGAUUGACAGAUUGAGAGCUCUUUCUUGAUUUUGUGGGUGGUGGUGCAUGGCCGUUCUUAGUUGGUGGAGUGAUUUGUCUGCUUAAUUGCGAUAACGAACGAGACCUUAACCUACUAAAUAGUGCUGCUAGCUUUUGCUGGUAUAGUCACUUCUUAGAGGGACUACCGAUUUCAAGUCGGUGGAAGUUUGAGGCAAUAACAGGUCUGUGAUGCCCUUAAACGUUCUGGGCCGCACGCGCGCUACACUGACGGAGCCAGCGAGUAUUAACCUUGGCCGAGAGGUCUGGGAAAUCUUGUGAAACUCCGUCGUGCUGGGGAUAGAGCAUUG
This 618-nucleotide ribosomal RNA is filed under the name Yamadazyma scolyti. RNAcentral describes it as "SSU rRNA". It matches the Rfam family "Eukaryotic small subunit ribosomal RNA", at positions 947 to 1586 of the family's 1831-position model. The record is from RNAcentral. Lineage: Eukaryota; Fungi; Ascomycota; Pichiomycetes; Serinales; Debaryomycetaceae.